Molecule: long non-coding RNA, 302 nt
Organism: Cloeon dipterum
Lineage: Eukaryota; Metazoa; Arthropoda; Insecta; Ephemeroptera; Baetidae
Exons: 2
Source: RefSeq, a predicted model, not a curated record
CUCUUUGUCUAACGCGUCAACGGUCAACCGCCGUUCUAAGUUAAAGUUAUUAACGGACGCAGGACGCCGGACGCCGCCAGUAAGGGACAACACGGACGUCCCGCAGACUUGGACGGAUGGCCUGGAUCUUGCGGUCAACAGGCUUCAAGCCGUCCGCAGAUGUUAUGCACGACGGGAAAAGAUACAAUCGUUUAAGUUCUGCAGUUUGGGCUUCAAGAUUGGCGGUGCUGGCAUCGAAUGAGAGAAAAUUUUGUACCUGAUAUGAUGGAAAACCAAUAAAUUUUAAAAAUUUAACUAAAUAA